Musa acuminata AAA Group (dessert banana) is the source of this 2034-nucleotide long non-coding RNA. RefSeq lists it as uncharacterized. The transcript has 6 exons. The record is from RefSeq and is a predicted model, not a curated record. NCBI's taxonomy places the organism in Eukaryota, Viridiplantae, Streptophyta, Magnoliopsida, Zingiberales, Musaceae.
UCGUUCGAAGCAAACCAGUGCAUUCGCCCUUUCUCGUAUCACUUCUCACGUAUCGCGGUUUCCUUCGUUCGUCGAAGUCGCUCGCCGCUCAUCCCCCGCAGCCGGAGGCUUGCGGAGGAGGAGAAAGAGACACUGAAACCUUGAGAGUUUUGACGUCCUCGCACGGCGCUUUCUUUCCAUGUGGCCUGCCGUCUCUUCGCUUCUCCAUCGAUGAAGAAGAUUUUUGGGAGCUGCUUUUGGGCUACCAUGAAGCUGUUAUACCAUGUGACAUGUUUGAUUUUAUGCACAAUGCCGUGGCACUAGCUUCAACUAGUUGAAUCCGUGGAGGGAUCUGCUACCAUCUGUUGUUGCUUUCAGCUGCUAGAAACGUCUUGCUAAAAGGGAAAUGAUGAUUCAACAAAUGAGUCAAUGCUUCUGCUUCCAAAGAGAACAUUCCAGCCAAGCCAUGUUAAGCGCAAGAGGACUCAUGGUUACCUUGCAUGGAAGUCUACCAAGGGUGGGCGUAAGGUCAUCGCUCGCAGGUUGGCAAAGGGCAGAGCAAGGAUUGCGGUCUAGGAUGUUGCUGUAACAAGUCAGAUGGAUGCGGGUGGUACAGGAUCAUGCCAUGGCGACUCCAUAUCUCCAUGAUCCGAGAUGUUGAGAUCAGAUGCUCAGUAUUACAGCAAAGUUUUAGUGUCAAAAAUUGGAAAUCUCUUAGUGCAACUAUUAUUUGUAAACUUGUCAUUGGGUGUUCUUCAUCUAUUUUCCAAUAUUUCUUUUGGUUCAAUUUACAUUGACAUGGAGAAUUUCAAAUGGAUGUUGUUAUGAAUAAUUUUGUUUUACACAAAGAUAGCUUUAUGAAGAGAAAUGGAUGAAGAGGCAUGCCUUGUAGUGUUUAUUAACCAUCUCUCCUCAUCUUGAAGUGUAUACAGGUUCAAAUAUUUGACCCAGGUAAUUCUCCUGGUGGGGAUUAUGAUGUGCAUCCAAGGGAUUCUCCAUUGUGCUGAUGCGAGUGCUCCAAAUCAGAGUCCGACAGUACUAUCUCCUCUGAGGUUUGGCCAACUUCUACAGAUCUCACCAAUGUGCAUCAUGCUUCUUGGAUUGAGGGAGACAAAGAAGCAAAGGUGUCAUUGUACCAAGUAGGACUAUGUCCUGUAGCUCAAUAGCAGGCCCCCAAAUAAGGUUUGCUGACUCUCUCCUCUGAAAGCUGCACUUUGUUGGAUGUACUGCAUUAUUUGAGUUGUGCGCCUCACAAGCCAGGACUUGGAUCCUUGGUAAUGUCUCUCUCUCCUUGCCCACGAGUGAUGCAGAGACUGAGAACGUUUCAAGUCUUGCUGUCAUAUAAACUAGAUGUAGUUCCUCUGAUCUGAGAUCCUUCUCUCUUCAGCCAUCGAACAGAUAAGAAAUCUGCGGCCUGCAAAGCCAUCAAGAUGCUAAUGGCUACCUGCCUUUGAUGCAUACUGGCAUUCUGCUGCAGAAUAAGGCAAGUAAGGUGGAUCCAACAAAGCUGGGAGUUCAAGUCAUCAUACAUCAGUAUAAUACACAGUGAAAUUCCUAGUAUUGUCUUCACUGGCUGUUCAUGGAUCACAAGCAGCUCACCCUGUGGUCUGGAUGGAGACAUGCUCUUCUUCAACAAUUUCCAUCUCCCACCUGCACACGCAGAGAGGAUAAGAGAGGAUCAGUGACACAACACAUGCCAAGGUAAAAUGAUUGAUAGCAGGGCUGGGCUGUGCUGUGCCAAAGAAACUUUUCCCUGCCCACUUGCCUGCUAAAUGGCAAAUCUGUGUCUGCGCCUCAUACAAUGCAGAAACAAAGAAAGAAACAAAAGCUUGAAAUGCCUCUGCUGCCUUCAGAUCUACCUCCAUCCUCCACAUUCCUAUGGCUCUCUGAAACUUGCAGCAAUACAUGACAAUGAAUUAUAGGGUGGCAUCUUGGAAUCUAAUAUGUUGUACUUUACCCUUAUAUCUGUCAAGCCCCUCUAUGUUGCUGGGAAGCCAUGUGCAUAUGCGACAUCUCACUGUUUUUGUUUCCAUAUGAAGGUUUAACCCAUUGUUA